AUGUGGGAAUCUGCCUUUUGGUUUGGAAUAACACGGGGAAACUUGUGCUAAUACCGAAUAAGCCCUUGCGGGGAAAGUUUUAACGCCGAAAGAUGAGCCUGCACUUGAUUAGCUAGUUGGUAAGGUAAAAGCUUACCAAGGCAACGAUCAAUAGCUGUUCUUAGAGGAAGACCAGCCACAUUGGGACUGAGACACGGCCCAGACUCCUACGGGAGGCAGCAGUGGGGAAUCUUGCACAAUGGGGGAAACCCUGAUGCAGCGAUGCCGCGUGAGUGAAGAAGGCCUUUGGGUUGUAAAACUCUUUCGUCGGGGAAGAAAAUGACUGUA
Molecule: ribosomal RNA, 327 nt
Filed under: uncultured bacterium
Lineage: Bacteria
Description: bacterial SSU rRNA
Rfam family: Bacterial small subunit ribosomal RNA
Source: RNAcentral